RNAcentral lists this ribosomal RNA (440 nucleotides) under uncultured bacterium. RNAcentral's name for it is "partial 16S ribosomal RNA". It matches the Rfam family "Bacterial small subunit ribosomal RNA", at positions 338 to 795 of the family's 1533-position model. The record is from RNAcentral.
CCUACGGGAGGCAGCAGUGGGGGAUAUUGCACAAUGGGGGAAACCCUGAUGCAGCGACGCCGCGUGGGUGAAGAAGCGCCUCGGCGCGUAAAGCCCUGUCAGCAGGGAAGAAAAUGACGGUACCUGAAGAAGAAGCCCCGGCUAACUACGGGCCAGCAGCCGCGGUAAUACGUCGGGGGCAAGCGUUAUCCGGAUUUACUGGGUGUAAAGGGGGCGCAGACGGCGAUGCAAGCCAGGAGUGAAAGCCCGGGGCCCAACCCCGGGACUGCUCUUGGGACUGCGUGGCUAGAGUGCAGGAGGGGCAGGCGGAAUUCCUGGUGUAGCGGUGAAAUGCGUAGAGAUCAGGAGGAACACCGGUGGCGAAGGCGGCCUGCUGGACUGCAACUGACGUUGAGGCCCGAAAGCGUGGGGAGCAAACAGGAUUAGAUACCCUUGUAGUC